This 971-nucleotide ribosomal RNA is filed under the name Pseudomonas protegens. RNAcentral describes it as "bacterial SSU rRNA". It matches the Rfam family "Bacterial small subunit ribosomal RNA", at positions 69 to 1035 of the family's 1533-position model. Lineage: Bacteria; Pseudomonadati; Pseudomonadota; Gammaproteobacteria; Pseudomonadales; Pseudomonadaceae. The record is from RNAcentral.
GCACGGGUACUUGUACCUGGUGGCGAGCGGCGGACGGGUGAGUAAUGCCUAGGAAUCUGCCUAGUAGUGGGGGAUAACGUCCGGAAACGGGCGCUAAUACCGCAUACGUCCUACGGGAGAAAGUGGGGGAUCUUCGGACCUCACGCUAUUAGAUGAGCCUAGGUCGGAUUAGCUAGUUGGUGAGGUAAUGGCUCACCAAGGCGACGAUCCGUAACUGGUCUGAGAGGAUGAUCAGUCACACUGGAACUGAGACACGGUCCAGACUCCUACGGGAGGCAGCAGUGGGGAAUAUUGGACAAUGGGCGAAAGCCAGAUCCAGCCAUGCCGCGUGUGUGAAGAAGGUCUUCGGAUUGUAAAGCACUUUAAGUUGGGAGGAAGGGCAGUUACCUAAUACGUGAUUGUUUUGACGUUACCGACAGAAUAAGCACCGGCUAACUCUGUGCCAGCAGCCGCGGUAAUACAGAGGGUGCAAGCGUUAAUCGGAAUUACUGGGCGUAAAGCGCGCGUAGGUGGUUUGUUAAGUUGGAUGUGAAAGCCCCGGGCUCAACCUGGGAACUGCAUCCAAAACUGGCAAGCUAGAGUAUGGUAGAGGGUGGUGGAAUUUCCUGUGUAGCGGUGAAAUGCGUAGAUAUAGGAAGGAACACCAGUGGCGAAGGCGACCACCUGGACUGAUACUGACACUGAGGUGCGAAAGCGUGGGGAGCAAACAGGAUUAGAUACCCUGGUAGUCCACGCCGUAGACGAUGUCAACUAGCCGUUGGGAGCCUUGAGCUCUUAGUGGCGCAGCUAACGCAUUAAGUUGACCGCCUGGGGAGUACGGCCGCAAGGUUAAAACUCAAAUGAAUUGACGGGGGCCCGCACAAGCGGUGGAUCAUGUGGUUUUAUUUCGAAGCAACGCGAAGAACCUUACCAGGCCUUGACAUCCAAUGAACUUUCUAGAGAUAGAUUGGUGCCUUCGGGAACAUUGAAAA